UGGAUGAGGCAUGCAAGUCGAACGGUUCAGGUUGGUAGCAAUAUUGGCCUUGGAUAGUGGCGGAAGGGCGAGUAAUGCGAGAGCAAGCUACCCUCGGUUCGGGACAACGGCUGGAAACGGCCGCUAAUACCGGAUGCGAUGGUCGGGCCGCAUGGUCCGAUCCUGAAAGGCCGGGACCCCUUUGGGGCCGGUCGCCGAAGGAGGCGCUCCCGUGCCAUCGGCUAGUUGGUGAGGUAACGGCUCACCAAGGCUUACGGCUAGGUGGACUGAGAGGUUGGUCACCCGCACUGGGACUGAGACACUGCCCAGACUCCUACGGGAGGCUGCAGUCGAGGAUCAUUUGCAAUGGGCGAAAGCCUGACAAUGCGACGCUGCGUGCAGGAUGAAGGCCUUCGGGUUGUAAACUGCUGUUAGGAGGGAAAAGGACGCGGACUCCAACAAAGUCUGCCGUUUGAUUGUACCUCCAGAGAAAGUCGCGGCUAACUCUG
RNAcentral lists this ribosomal RNA (488 nucleotides) under uncultured rumen bacterium. RNAcentral describes it as "bacterial SSU rRNA". It matches the Rfam family "Bacterial small subunit ribosomal RNA", at positions 45 to 505 of the family's 1533-position model. The record is from RNAcentral.